Long non-coding RNA from Thunnus maccoyii (southern bluefin tuna), 3552 nucleotides. RefSeq lists it as uncharacterized. Lineage: Eukaryota; Metazoa; Chordata; Actinopteri; Scombriformes; Scombridae. The record is from RefSeq and is a predicted model, not a curated record. The transcript is spliced from 2 exons.
GAGAGAGAGAGAGAGAGAGAGAGAGAGAGAGAGAGAGAGAGAGAGAGCGAAAUCGUGUAACUUGACGGACUGAAGAGCGUCGCAUGCGCAGUGUUUACAAACAAAUGUGUAGCUGGUGUCUGAGAUUUUCUACCCCACAGUCUUUGCCAGGAUACUCAUGCUACAUAUUUUCUGCUAGCAGCAGGAGAUACUUCUACUCGAAGUUUGUUGUACAGUUGUUCACGUUUGUUUGUUUAUUAGCUCAUUAGCCGAACGUGUGUUUGUUAGCAUUCAUUAGCAAAGUGAAUGGACUCAUAGUCACUAUAACUAACACACGAAUGAUUUAUUAGCUUUCAUUAGCACAGUGAAUGGACUUGUAGCCACUGUGUAGCUAACCCAGCUAACGCUAUAGGCUUUAGUUCAUUGUUUUCGACGUGGAAACCCUGAGGAUUUAAUGGACAGUGCCAUGAGCUACCAAGUCAACGCUCAGAGAGACUUUUCACUACAUGGGCCGGACCCGCCAUUUUUGGACUUCAGCGUGUAUCCUGUUCCUUCCCGGAGAUCGAGGGCUGGUAUAAACUGCAUCCUGUUCCCUCCCAGAGAUCGAGAGGCUGGUAUAAACUGCUGAUUGGAGUCCGACUUCAUGACCAAGUUGGAUGUUUGAGCUUCACUGUGCAGAAUGAUGUAUGUGUAAAAUUUAACACUACAAGGUUGUUCACAUUUGUCUGCUGAAGAGGGCAAGUUUCUCUGUGCUCAUCUUAAAUCUGGGUCUGAGGGAUGGGCCUAUGAGUAGGAUUUGUGACACCACAACUAGUUUGGAGCCAAUCAUGGUCCAGUUUGCAACUAAUAAAAGUGCGAUGUGGAAACCUGAAGCCUCUGGUGCACAUGAACUGGCUCGUGCACAUAAACUGGCUCAUUCACAACUGUGUGACUGUAAGGUAAUUAACAUCCUUGUUGUAUUGUCUGUAACUUAAGUCUAGUUUUCUGAGUAUUCUUUAACUGUGGCUGUCAUUAAUAUGCUGUUGGGAAAAUAAAACUGCACUUUGCCAUAGGCCAUCAAAGCACAUGACAACCACCAAAAAUACAUCAUAUUGUGAUAUGGGUUAGAUAUGUACUAAUUCUUCAUUCACUUACUAAAUGCCUAUUUUCAGGAUGGAAAAAAAUUACACAUUUUCAAUUGGGAUUCUAUGGUGAAACACACACAUUUGCACACAGGCUGAGGAUGUGAAAUAAAGCUGUUUUACCAGAGUGUGUCUUCACCAUGGCAGUAAACUCUGGAGACUGAUAGUGCAGACAGUAUGUAUAACGGCAGCAUGCUCUGUCAGUUCUCCUCCUUGUUCACAAGAGUCCUGGGAUUUACAUAGUCCGAGUCCAUCCUUAAUGAGAGCUGUAAUCAUCCUAUGCACUGGACCAGACAAUCCAGCUAACGAAGACAACCGUAAGAUGAAGAAACCAAACACACUUCUCAUACACUCCUCUGGGGCUUGUGUUGCAGUCUUAAUCACAGAACUUGACAACACAUUCCACGCUUGUCAUUUCCAGGCUUUGAACUUGAUCUAAUUUUGCAUUUCUGGUAGAGUUUAGUCAGACCAAUUAUUUUACUGACACAAGCUGUUCCACGAUAAUUCAACCUAUAGAAUCUAAUAAACUGUUUUUACACAGACUGGCAAUGCCCACAGCACUUUUCUUGAAUGCAGCAAAGAGAAGGAUUCUGUGGGUAAAUAUGAGGCGACAAGCAUCACCACUAAAACUGCUCUUCCAGAACUGUACAGUCCACCAACCAUGUCUAUUACUUGCUUGACAAUGUGUACUACCAUCCUGUAAUUGAUAGAUCCUGAUGUUUAACAGAUUUUAAUAGCAUUCCUCAGGGAUGCAGAAAUUCAGUGGUCACCCUGCCAAACCAACUAAUCCGUUUCUGAUCUGCCAUUAAAAGAGUACUCCACCAGUUUAGCAUUUUUUAUACAGUUGUGAAGUGGGAUGAGGGCCACAAGUUCCAGUAGUGUUUUUCUCCAUUCUGUAUUCCCAUUUUAUUUUUCCUUUAAACAAUUUUCUCAGUAUUACUUAACAUAGAAACACAGGACUCUCACAGAUUAUAUAACGAUCGUAUGGGUUUAUGUUAUGACCACCAGUUUCUAUGAUUUCAACUUUGUUUUUGCCUGUAAAUUCAGCAUAGUGGAUGGCUAACAAUACUACAGUACCCAUGUGCCUGUUUCCUAUGGAAAAGAAACUAGUCAGUGGUGCAAAUCAGAGCAGUAAUGAAUUCAAAACACUUCCUCGUUGCAGUGUCGUAAACAAAACAUGAUUUUAUAGUUACUGAAUUCACUCAGAAGUGACCUAGAAAUUAGAAGUGAACUGAUUUACCCUCCAGAUUGUAAAAUCAGUUUUCUCAACACUACUCAUUAGCUUCCUCCUGCCUUCCACCAGUAAACAUUGAUUUACUGUGUCUACUGUGGUUGACACAGUAAAUCAAUGUUUCUUGCCGAAAUGCACCUUGAGAGUGUUUUAAAGUUUUUAUGUACACAGUCCUGUACCUUUGACAUUUUAUCAAAGAACCAGCUAUUUUCUAAUGCAUUUGUUCAUCUUUUGCACUAAUGAUUCAACCGGGAGAGUUUCGUGUUGGUCCAAGUCGUAGAAAUGCUCAAACUGUGAGUCACCUAACAUUGUCUAUGGGGAAAAUGCAUGGGAUUUUUACUACCAUAUAGUCCCUCCCACUUCACAACUCUAACUGUCACAUAUGGGGCCUGGCACCUUCAUUACCCACAAUACAAAUCUGCUGACUGUUCAGUUGGAGUUUCUGGUUAUGCUAGUAUUUGACUAAUGUAAUCUUGAGCCGCUAGCCUUAAGCAGACAGCUCACUUCUUUCUAACCCCACACCCCAAGAGGGAUGAUGUCACUAAAGGCAAUUUAUCAGAUUUUGCUCUGCAAGCUCUCGAGCCACAAAAGACUUUGCUUUUUUUUUUGUUUAUUUGUUUUGUUUUUUUCCCCACAUAUGCAGUAAUGUGUAAAACCAGUGGACAUCCCCUUUAAGGUCUGGCUAAGUUUAGUGCUGAACUAAUUAGUCAAUUAAUCAAUUAAUAAAAAAAUAACUGACAACAAUUUUGAUAUGUGAUUCAGUCACAAUCACAAUUUACAGAGGGGCAAGACGGGAGAGAGUUACAUAAGCCCUUGUGAAGUUUCCUUACCCUUUGUGUUCAUGUUUUUCUCUGUUUGAAUGUCUUCUUUCUCCCUAAAGCCUCUGAUACAUAAAGAGAGUACACCUGAGCUGGGUGAGUUCACAGACAAUAAAAGAGGAAUGGUGAAGCAGGAAGUACUGGAUAGUGAAUAGCUCUCUGUCAGCACAAAGCUCUUUUGUUACAAUGGAGUUUAUUUUAUUUUGGGUCGGAGAUCAAUGGUAGUUGUAUUUUCACAGUCUGUUUUUGAGUUUGUUUAGUUUCCAGAUGCUUCUGUUAGUUGACAUCUGAGGCCAACUUUCCCCAUCAUUUUCUUGAGUUUUUCCAGGACUUGAAAGUUCCCUUUUGUUUGAGCUUAAAGAUUCAAUUUUGUUGUAUGAUUAAAGAAAAUAUUUUCGAUUAA